AAUCACUGCAUUCAGUUUUGAGAUUUGUCAUCAAACAAACUGCACCCUUGCCAUUUGUAACUUUGUGGCACCACAGGAUAUUCCAAUCUCUUCUUGUUCCUGUCCUGUCCCAUUAAUGGAGCCAACCACUUCUCCAAGGAGGUCUGGUUCCUUUUUUAUUUUUAUUUUUGGAGAAUGGUAUUUAGAAACCAAGAUCUGGAUGUCAGGCGACCCAGAGAGUCGGGACAGUGGUGGAAAAACAUUUCCAUGGGACCUCUCUCACCUUUUCUAUGCAGGAUGGCCCCGAAGCUGGACAGACUGUGAAGCACGUUCACGUCCAUGUUCUUCCCAGGAAGGCUGGAGACUUUCACAGGAAUGACAGCAUCUAUGAGGAGGAGCUGGGAUGCUCAGGUGAAAUGUGGCCUCAGGCUCACCUGGGAAUGAGCGAGUGAAGUUAGGAGAGCUCCAGAAACAUGACAAGGAGGACUCUCCUGCCUCUUGGAGAUCAGAGGAGGAAAUGGCAGCAGAAGCCGCAGCUCUGCGGGUCUACUUUCAGUGACCCAGGUAAAGACUGCAUUUCGUCAUCACCCAGACCCUUCCGUGGGCCUCAGGAAAGAGGCUGCACUCUCAGAAUGGGGAUGCACAAAAACACCUUCACCAACAUCCUAGGGUGGUGGCUGCAAAGGACAAAAAGCUGGAGGGGAGAAAACCCUGGCCCUUGAGUACUGUAUUCCCAGCCUCCCAGUCUCUUCCAACUCUCCUGCCUCUUCACUCUCUUCUUCCAAGCCAGUGCCCCCAGCCCACCACCACCUUUCUCCAGUCUUUCCUGCGGUGGUGCUCCUCCAGAAUCCAAUGUUCACAAAGCACACCUUCUGUCAUGCACAACUUCUUGUUUAAAAGGUCAACCCCAACUUAAGGGUAUGACAUGGCCCUUAGGCUCAAGUCUGUCUGCAAAGCCCUGUAAACCAGCUUUCUCUGCCUCCCUAACACACCCCCAGGCAAACUCCUCUGCCUUCACUGAGUGGACUCUUCUCUUCAGUUGCUAUUUGGUAAAUUGCCCUUCACAUUUCCCUUUAUGUUCGGCUCCUAGGAAGCUCAGGCCACAGGGAAAAGUCAAGGCUUGAUAGAAUUAAUCUUUAUCUUAAUGAUGGGUAACUGUUGAGAGAUCAUAGGUUUAAGACUCUGGUAGAAAGAUAGCUAUAGCCAAUUUCCUUGUCAAAAUGCUUCUACUCCAAAUUUUUAUGCAGUGUCUGAGGAACUCAUGCCUAGAUCUAUCUGGCAAUCUAUAUUAUCCCUCCUAGUCUCAGUUCAUAUAGUAGACUGCUGGAAUGACUGAGGGUGAUGUGUUUGGUCUGUAAACAAAAAGUGUUAAAGAAGGCCAGGUACAGUGGCUCAUGCCUAUAAUCCCAACUACUUGGGAAGCUGAGGCAGGAGAACUGCUUGAACCUGGGAGGCAGAGGUUGCAGUGAGCUGAGAUCAUGCCACUGCAUUCCAGCCUGGGUGACAGAGCAAGACUCAGUUUCAAAAAAAACAGGAGAGAGAGAGAGAGAGAAAUGUAUCUAACUCUCUGAAAUUUGUUUAUAAAUAUAGGGUUACCAUGUAAUACUGGCCUAUAUCUAGACUAAAAAAAUUACUUGUUUAUCUGAAAUUCAAAUUUAACUGGUAUCUUGUAUUUUUUCUGGCAAACCUGUUAAUAAACUCCCAUGGACCCCAGUUACAGAUCCUCUCCUAUAAAUAGUUUCUUUUUCGUUUUUAGAAUUAGAUAAUUCCAAAUUAAAAUUAGGCAAUUCUUCAUCUGACCUGUGAAUAAAUAUGUUCAUGUUAUAAGUUGCAGAAGUAGAUCAGAUACAAAUAAAAAACAAAAUUAAUUAGUGAACAAAUGCUGGUAGCAAUUGAUUGGAAAAAAUUGUAUCAACCACUUAGUGAUCAUGAUUUAGUGAUCACGAUUUUUAGCUAGAAAACACAUUCAUUGUAUUCUGAUUUCACUUUGAAAUGUAAGUAAGUCAAGUCUUUACUGGAUACCUUUAAAUACAUGUGCACUUGGCCUUUCUCUCCCCAGCCCUCUUUUUAGAGUAUUCUAAAUAAUUAAAGACCCAGACUACCUUGCCCCCUAUUGUUGUUCAAAUAUGGUGUUGUACUCAGAUCCUUGCAUUCUAGAAAGCUUAUUUCAUUCUCCCAUGUCAUAAGUUUGUCAGCUCUGCAGUCAGUUGCCUGGGGGGAUAUGGCAAGUGCUAUAAUAGAGGCUGUCUUUCAUAUUUUAUUUUGAAUGUUUUCCACUGUUCACCAUCUCGCUCUCAUUUUUUAAGGAUCAAGCUAGUUUACCUAAGAACAUAGGCCUAUGGGCAUGACUACAAACCUCUUUCUGUUCCUCUUAUGAAGGCCAGUAUGUCAUUUUAGAGUGCCCUGUUCAAAUUUAAAUGGGGUGACAAUACCUCAGACUUGACUGCCUAGGUUGAAUUUUUUCUAUGCAGUGGGUAUUUUCAGGUAGAGGCUAGAAAGCUUUAGCCUUUUUCCCAAGGCUUGCUGAAUUGUAGGAUUUUUGUCUUAGAAUGCUUUUUCUAGACACUUUAAGAAGAUUCAAACUUAUUACCCAAAUUUCCUGUAGGCUUUGUUUUGUCAGUUUUUGCUUCUGUCUUGCCUGGAGGCCUGACAUCUCCUGUCUUCCAGGUAAAUUGACUUCCCUUGUACAUCUUACCAGAAAGAUAUUUACCCUAACUUGUUACACAAACUAUUGCCACAGUACCUGUGGAUUUUUAAGUUAACUAACAUUUGUAUUUCUCUUUAAAGGUUUUGUGCACAGACCAAACAAAUCACCCUCAGUCUUCCCAGCAGUCAGAUGUGGUAACUAAGACUAGGAUGGAUAAUAUAGGUUGUGAGGUGGCAAACAACUUAGGGUCCUAAGAUUUUGCCAAGACUGUCAUCAUUACCUGGAGUAUAAUGGGACUAAAUAUACCUCCCUUUAAGGACAAUGGAAACAUUCUAUUGAAACCAUCCUCACAGGGUUAACAAGAAUUAGAUGCUGGGUUCUGGACAGAAAUAUAGUUGUAAUUAAGCAUUAAUCAGGCUGCACUUUGGCCCA
RNAcentral lists this small RNA (3058 nucleotides) under Pan troglodytes (chimpanzee). RNAcentral's name for it is "processed transcript". The record is from RNAcentral. Lineage: Eukaryota; Metazoa; Chordata; Mammalia; Primates; Hominidae.